CCUACGGGAGGCUGCAGUGAGGAAUAUUGGUCAAUGGGCGCGAGCCUGAACCAGCCAAGUCGCGUGAAGGAUGACGGUCCUAUGGAUUGUAAACUUCUUUUGUGCAGGAAUAAAGUGAGGAACGUGUUCCUUUUUGUAUGUACUGUACGAAUAAGCAUCGGCUAACUCCGUGCCAGCAGCCGCGGUAAUACGGAGGAUGCGAGCGUUAUUCGGAUUUAUGGGGUUUAAAGGGUGCUUAGACGUCAUGAUUGAAAGUUUGCAGCUUAACUGUAAGAUUGCCAUUGAAACUGUUAGUCUUGAGUGCAAAUGAGGUAGGCGGAAUGUGUUGUGUAGCGGUGAAAUGCUUAGAUAUAACACAGAACUCCGAUUGCGAAGGCAGCUUACUGGGAUGCAACUGACGCUGAUGCACGAAAGCGUGGGUAUCAAACAGGAUUAGAUACCCUGGUAGUC
RNAcentral lists this ribosomal RNA (450 nucleotides) under uncultured bacterium. RNAcentral's name for it is "partial 16S ribosomal RNA". It matches the Rfam family "Bacterial small subunit ribosomal RNA", at positions 338 to 795 of the family's 1533-position model. The record is from RNAcentral.